This 492-nucleotide ribosomal RNA is filed under the name uncultured bacterium. Its description in RNAcentral is "partial 16S ribosomal RNA". It matches the Rfam family "Bacterial small subunit ribosomal RNA", at positions 29 to 507 of the family's 1533-position model. The record is from RNAcentral.
AGUGAACGCUGGCGGUAGGCCUAACACAUGCAAGUCGAACGGCAGCACAGUAAGAGCUUGCUCUUACGGGUGGCGAGUGGCGGACGGGUGAGGAAUACAUCGGAAUCUACUUUUUCGUGGGGGAUAACGUAGGGAAACUUACGCUAAUACCGCAUACGACCUACGGGUGAAAGCAGGGGAUCUUCGGACCUUGCGCGAUUGAAUGAGCCGAUGUCGGAUUAGCUAGUUGGCGGGGUAAAGGCCCACCAAGGCGACGAUCCGUAGCUGGUCUGAGAGGAUGAUCAGCCACACUGGAACUGAGACACGGUCCAGACUCCUACGGGAGGCAGCAGUGGGGAAUAUUGGACAGUGGGCGCAAGCCUGAUCCAGCCAUACCGCGUGCGUGAAGAAGGCCUUCGGGUUGUAAAGCCCUUUUGUUGGGAAAGAAAAGCAGCAGGUUAAUACCCCGCUGUUCUGACGGUACCCAAAGAAUAAGCACCGGCUAACUUCGUG